This 253-nucleotide ribosomal RNA is filed under the name uncultured bacterium. RNAcentral describes it as "partial 16S ribosomal RNA". It matches the Rfam family "Bacterial small subunit ribosomal RNA", at positions 524 to 776 of the family's 1533-position model. The record is from RNAcentral.
GACAGAGGGGGCAAGCGUUGCUCGGAAUUACUGGGCGUAAAGGGCGCGUAGGCGGUGUGUCAAGUCAGGCGUGAAAGCCCCGGGCUCAACCUGGGAACCGCGCUUGAGACUGGCACGCUCGAGUUCGGGAGAGGAUGGUGGAAUUCCCAGUGUAGAGGUGAAAUUCGUAGAUAUUGGGAAGAACACCGAUGGCGAAGGCAGCCAUCUGGACCGACACUGACGCUGAGGCGCGAAAGCGUGGGGAGCAAACAGG